GGGAAUCUUGCACAAUGGGCGAAAGCCUGAUGCAGCAACGCCGCGUGGGUGAAGAAGGUUCUCGGAUUGUAAAGCCCUUUCGGCUGGGAAGAAGGGUGCUGUGGUGAAUAUCCACGGCAUUUGACGGUACCAGAAGAAGAAGCACCGGCUAAUUUCGUGCCAGCAGCCGCGGUAAUACGAAAGGUGCAAGCGUUGUUCGGAAUGACUGGGCGUAAAGCGCACGUAGGCGGGUUUGCAAGUAGGAUGUGAAAGCCCCAGGCUUAACCUGGGAAUGGCAUCUUAAACUACAAAUCUUGAAUGCUUGAGAGGUUGGUGGAAUGCCUGGUGUAGGAGUGAAAUCCGUAGAUAUCAGGUGGAAUAUCGGAGGCGAAGGCGGCCAACUGGUGAUGCAUUGACGCUAAGGUGCGAAAGCGUGGGGAGCAAACA
This 426-nucleotide ribosomal RNA is filed under the name uncultured bacterium. RNAcentral's name for it is "bacterial SSU rRNA". It matches the Rfam family "Bacterial small subunit ribosomal RNA", at positions 357 to 774 of the family's 1533-position model. The record is from RNAcentral.